Molecule: ribosomal RNA, 519 nt
Filed under: Chondropoma clenchi
Lineage: Eukaryota; Metazoa; Mollusca; Gastropoda; Littorinimorpha; Annulariidae
Description: partial 16S ribosomal RNA
Rfam family: Bacterial large subunit ribosomal RNA
Source: RNAcentral
ACAAAAACAUGUCUCUUUGUUUAUUUUUAUGGAGAGUUUAACCUGCCCAGUGAUUAUUAUUUAAACGGCCGCAGUACUUUGACUGUGCAAAGGUAGCAUAAUUAUUUGCCUUAUAAUUGAAGGCUUGUAUGAAUGGUUUGACGAGAAUGAUUCUGUCUUAAUUUAUUUUUUUAGAAUUUAACUUUUAAGUGAAGAGGCUUUUAUUAAAUUGAUAGACAAGAAGACCCUGUUGAGCUUAAAUUUUUAUAUUUGAGUAUAUAAUUUAUAUUAUUUAUAGAUUUUAGUUGGGGUGACUGAGGAACGGUGUGAUCUUCCUUGAAGUGUUUAUAAUUUAUUGAUUUUGAUCCAUUAUUUUGUGAUUAUUAGAAUUAGUUACCACAGGGAUAACAGCAUAAUCUUUUUUGAGAGUUCGUAUCGAAGAAUUGGUUUGUGACCUCGAUGUUGGAUUAAAGUUUCCUAAGGGUGUAGAAGUUUUUAAGGGUUAGUCUGUUCGACUAUUAAAACUUUACAUGAGCUGAG